CCUACGGGAGGCAGCAGUGAGGAAUAUUGGUCAAUGGGCGCGAGCCUGAACCAGCCAAGUCGCGUGAGGGAAGACGGUCCUAUGGAUUGUAAACCUCUUUUGUCGGGGAGCAAAAGACGCCACGCGUGGCGUUCCGAGAGUACCCGAAGAAAAAGCAUCGGCUAACUCCGUGCCAGCAGCCGCGGUAAUACGGAGGAUGCGAGCGUUAUCCGGAUUUAUUGGGUUUAAAGGGUGCGCAGGCGGAAGAUCAAGUCAGUGGUAAAAUUGAGAGGCUCAACCUCUUCGAGCCGUUGAAACUGGUGUUCUUGAGUGAGCGAGAAGUAUGCGGAAUGCGUGGUGUAGCGGUGAAAUGCAUAGAUAUCACGCAGAACUCCGAUUGCGAAGGCAGCAUACCGGCGCUCAACUGACGCUCAUGCACGAAAGUGUGGGUAUCGAACAGGAUUAGAUACCCGAGUAGUC
RNAcentral lists this ribosomal RNA (459 nucleotides) under uncultured bacterium. Its description in RNAcentral is "partial 16S ribosomal RNA". It matches the Rfam family "Bacterial small subunit ribosomal RNA", at positions 338 to 795 of the family's 1533-position model. The record is from RNAcentral.